UGGGGAAUUUUGGACAAUGGGCGCAAGCCUGAUCCAGCCAUGCCGCGUGAGUGAAGAAGGCCUUCGGUUGUAAAGCUCUUUCGGCCGGGAAGAAAUCGUGGUCUCUAACAUAGGCCAUGGAUGACGGUACCGGACUAAGAAGCACCGGCUAACUACGUGCC
This 161-nucleotide ribosomal RNA is filed under the name uncultured bacterium. RNAcentral's name for it is "partial 16S ribosomal RNA". It matches the Rfam family "Bacterial small subunit ribosomal RNA", at positions 355 to 509 of the family's 1533-position model. The record is from RNAcentral.